GAUGAACGCUGGCGGCGUGCCUAAUACAUGCAAGUCGAACGAAACUUCUUUAUCACCGAGUGCUUGCACUCACCGAUAAAGAGUUGAGUGGCGAACGGGUGAGUAACACGUGGGCAACCUGCCCAAAAGAGGGGGAUAACACUUGGAAACAGGUGCUAAUACCGCAUAACCAUAGUUACCGCAUGGUAACUAUGUAAAAGGUGGCUAUACUACCGCUUUUGGAUGGGCCCGCGGCGCAUUAGCUAGUUGGUAGGGUAAAGGCUUACCAAGGCAAUGAUGCGUAGCCGAAUUGAGAGGUUGAUCGGCCACAUUGGGACUGAGACACGGCCCAAACUCCUACGGGAGGCAGCAGUAGGGAAUCUUCCACAAUGGGCGAAAGCCUGAUGGAGCAACGCCGCGUGGGUGAAGAAGGUCUUCGGAUCGUAAAACCCUGUUGUUAGAGAAGAAAGUGCGUGAGAGUAACUGUUCACGUUUCGACGGUAUCUAACCAGAAAGCCACGGCUAACUUCGUG
RNAcentral lists this ribosomal RNA (512 nucleotides) under uncultured bacterium. RNAcentral describes it as "partial 16S ribosomal RNA". It matches the Rfam family "Bacterial small subunit ribosomal RNA", at positions 28 to 507 of the family's 1533-position model. The record is from RNAcentral.